Molecule: long non-coding RNA, 452 nt
Organism: Helianthus annuus (common sunflower)
Lineage: Eukaryota; Viridiplantae; Streptophyta; Magnoliopsida; Asterales; Asteraceae
Exons: 3
Source: RefSeq, a predicted model, not a curated record
GCGUACGAUCACAGGAGAAGGGGGAAAAGGGGGUGUAAACUCUAACCACAAGAAAUCAUCAAUUGAAAAGGAAAUCGCGGGCUGAUUGUGUGCAUGAACCAAGAAUGAUGAUCCCUUAAGCGUUUCUCACAUCAACGUAGGAGCCAUGUCAACAUGGACACGAGCAUGGAAGGGCAAUGGGUCAAAGGUAAAUACGGAAGCUAUGCACGAACUCGGACACACGAGGUUUAUACGGAUUUCUUCUACCACGAAUGAAGAGAAGCGGGCAUGGAUCGAGUUGAUAGCGAGGAUUGUACGGGAAAGAACGGUCACCUAGCUUGGAUUAUGUAACACUUGUAGAAUUGUUUUCCAUGAAUGUUGUUAAAUCAGUUAGUAAGUGUUAAACGUUUUGUGACUAAAUCUAUACGUAAGCAAUGUAUUUAGCAAAGUAAGAAAAAAAAUUAAGGAUCGUU